Molecule: ribosomal RNA, 1267 nt
Filed under: metagenome
Description: bacterial LSU rRNA
Rfam family: Bacterial large subunit ribosomal RNA
Source: RNAcentral
CCCAAGGCGAUCGGGUGAACUGUGGUUAAGGAACUCGGCAAAUUGCCCCCGUAACUUCGGGAGAAGGGGGACCUCUGCUGGUGAUGGGCUUUACGUUCUGAGCUGGUGGGGGUCGCAGUGGCCAGGGGGAAGCGACUGUUUACUAAAAACACAGGUCCGUGCGAAGUCGUAAGACGAUGUAUACGGACUGACGCCUGCCCGGUGCCGGAACGUUAAGGGGACCGCUUAGCCAGCUUCGGUUGGCGUAGGUGAGAACUUAAGCGCCGGUAAACGGCGGUGGUAACUAUAACCAUCCUAAGGUAGCGAAAUUCCUUGUCGGGUAAGUUCCGACCUGCACGAAUGGCGUAACGACUUCCCCGCUGUCUCAACCACAGACCCGGCGAAAUUGCACUACGAGUAAAGAUGCUCGUUUCGCGCAGCAGGACGGAAAGACCCCGGGACCUUCACUACAGCUUGACAUUGGCGUUUGGAACGUCUUGUGUAGGAUAGGUGGGAGACUAGGAAGCUGUCACGCUAGUGAUGGUGGAGUCAUUGGUGAAAUACCACUCUGGUCGUUUUGAACGUCUAACUCUGGUCCGUGAUCCGGAUCGGGGACAGUGUCUGGUGGGUAGUUUAACUGGGGCGGUUGCCUCCUAAAGAGUAACGGAGGCGCCCAAAGGUUCCCUCAGCCUGGUUGGCAAUCAGGUGUUGAGUGUAAGUGCACAAGGGAGCUUGACUGUGAGACUGACAGGUCGAGCAGGAGCGAAAGCUGGGACUAGUGAUCCGGCAUCGGCGUGUGGAAGCGGUGUCGCUCAACGGCUAAAAGGUACCCCGGGGAUAACAGGCUGAUCUUCCCCAAGAGUCCAUAUCGACGGGAUGGUUUGGCACCUCGAUGUCGGCUCGUCGCAUCCUGGGGCUGGAGUAGUCCCAAGGGUUGGGCUGUUCGCCCAUUAAAGCGGUACGCGAGCUGGGUUUAGAACGUCGCGAGACAGUUCGGUCCCUAUCCGCUGCGCGCGCAGGAGACUUGAAGGGGGCUGUCCCUAGUACGAGAGGACCGGGACGGACGAACCUCUGGUGUGCCAGUUGUACCGCCAGGUGCACGGCUGGUUGGCUACGUUCGGAAGGGAUAACCGCUGAAAGCAUCUAAGCGGGAAGCUCGCCUUGAGAUGAGGUCUCCCACCCCGUGAGGGGGUAAGGCUCCCGGUAGAUCACCGGGUUGAUAGGCCGGAGGUGGAAGCACGGUAACGUGUGGAGCUGACCGGUACUAAUAGGACGAGGACUUGACCAC